AGGAAUAAACAUUCUACCAGAAUGAUGUAAUUUAUUAUCUUUCGGAGACAUAUGUAUAAACCCCAUCAGUGGGUAAUAUGUAUAAACCCAUCAGAGGGUAAAAAAAAAAAAAAAAAAAAAAAAAAAAAAAAGGAAAAGCCCAAAACAAAUGGGCUGACAUGUUGUGGAAGGCGAAGACCCAUAAGCCCAAAAUAGCACCAACUAGGUGAUCAAAAGUACGCCCAGUACUCCAAAUUAUACAUG
This 243-nucleotide long non-coding RNA is filed under the name Malus domestica (apple). Its description in RNAcentral is "long non-coding RNA (MDOM_LNC014151)". Lineage: Eukaryota; Viridiplantae; Streptophyta; Magnoliopsida; Rosales; Rosaceae. The record is from RNAcentral.